ACCAUCUUAUUUCCUUCCUCUCAGAGAUCAUGACAACUGGCUGUUCCUAUGUGGAUGCUUGUCUAUCCAUGCCAAAUAGACACGGAGCUGGACGGGGCAUGACUCGAAAUGCUGUGGGUUGAUUACAGGAAAACCUUUGGAGUCAUUUUCUUUGGAGUGAGAGUUGGGAUGGUUUGCUGCAGACACCCAGAUGUUUGAUGCUAUGUCCUUUUAUCUUCACCUGCAUGAGGCUGCUUGAGAUACAUCACGACUCCUGUUCUCCAGCCUUCACACUCCAGGACUUAACACCAGCACCCCCCAAACUCCACUCCUCCAGCAAGACUCCCCUGGUUCUCAGGCCUUCCAACUCAGACUGGAUUACACCACCUCCAGCUUCCCCGAUUCUUCAGUUUACAGAUGGCACGUUGUGGGACUUUCCGGCUUCCAUUAUCAUAGAGAGAAAAACAGAGUGUUGCUCUGUCACCCUGGCUGGAGUGCAGUGGCACAACCGCAGCUCACUGCAGCCUCAAACUCCUGGGCUCAAGUGAUCCUCCCACCUCAGCCCCUCAGAGCACUGGAAUUACAGAUGGCAAGAUUGCUUUCCCUUCAUGGGUGGGCAGUGCAGAGCAGCAAUUUCUCAUCACAGUGGCCUGUCCCAGCAUUGACCUGUCCUGCUUUCCCCCAAAUUGAGAAAGCUAGUGCAUCCUGUGUCCAGCUGAGCUAUCCAUAAGAUUACUGUGAAGUUGGGAGAAAACUGGCAAGCAGAUCACCUGAAAGUGCUGGUUACGUGGUAGACGCUGGUGAAAGAUUCCCAUUGCCUUUCUUGGAUUUCGCUCAGCUCUAGAGAACUGUGUCGGCUCCUCCCCAUGCAUCUGGGCACAUUCUGUCCCCAGGUCCUGCCCCUGCUUAGUCUUAGCAAAUGGCACACCAGAUGAUUAUAUCCCGUGCCUGGCUUGGAAGGUCCCACGCCCACGGAGCCUCUCUCACUGCUAGCACAACAGUCUGAGAUUGAACUGCAAGGCCACAGCAAGGCUGAAGAGGGGGGUCUGCCAUUGCUGAAACUUGAGUAGGUAAACAAAGUGACCAGGGAAGCUCUAACUGGGUAGAGCCCACUGCAACUCAAGGAGGACUGCUUGCCUCUGUAGACUCCACGUCUGGGGACAGGCUGUAACUGAACAAAAGGCAGCAGAAACUUCUGCAGACUUAAAUGUCCCUGUCUGACAGCUUUGAAGAGAGCAGUGGUUCUCCCAGCAUGGAGUUUGAGACCUGAGAACGGACAGACUGCCCCCUCAAGUGGGUCCCUGACUCCCGAGUAGCCUAAAGGGGAGAUGUCUCCCAGUAGAAGCUCACUGACACCUCAUACAGCCAGGUGCCCCUCUGAGACGAAGCUUCCAGAGGAUCAGGCAGCAACAUUUGCCGUUCUGCUAUAUUUGCUGUUCUGCAGCCUCUGCUGGUGAUACACAGGCAAACAGGUUCUGGAGUGGACCUCCAGCAAACUCCAACAUACCUGCAGCUGAGGGUCCUGACUGUUGGAAGGAAAACUAACAAACAGAAAGGACAUCCACACCAAAACCCCAACUGUAUAUCACCAUCAUCAAAGACCAAAGGUAGAUAAAACCACAGAGAUAGGGAGAAACCAGAGCAGAAAAGCUGAAAAUUCUACAAAUCAGAGUGCCUGUUCUCCUCCAAUGGAACGCAGCUCCUCCCCAGCAACAGAACAAAGCUGAAUGGAGAAUGACUUUGACGAGUUGAGACAAGAAGGCUUCAGACGAUUGGUAAUAACAAACUCCUCCGAGCUAAAAGAGGAUGUUCGAACCCAUCGCAAAGAACUAAAAACCUUGAAAAAAGAUAAGACAAAUGACUAACUAGAAUAAACAGUGUAGAGAAGACUUUAAAUGACCUAAUGGAGCUGAAAACUAUGGCACAAGAACUAUGUUACGCAUGCACAAGCUUCAGUAGCUGAUCCCAUCAAGUGGAAGAAAGGGUAUCAGUGAUUGAAGAUCAAAUGAAUGAAAUGAAGUGAGAAGAGAAGUUUAGAGAAAAAA
Macaca fascicularis (crab-eating macaque) is the source of this 2024-nucleotide long non-coding RNA. Lineage: Eukaryota; Metazoa; Chordata; Mammalia; Primates; Cercopithecidae. The record is from Ensembl.